AGCCGCCGCCAGGCCAACCCCCCAUCCCUUCCAUUUUUAUUUUUAUUUUUAUUUUUUUUCUUUUCUUUUCCUCUCGACACCAGCCAAACAGCCACCCUCCCCUGGUUUGAAAUUUGUUUUUUCUCCGACAGACAGCCGGCCAAAGUUUCUUCUCCACAGAGAGCCGGCCAAAGUUUUUUUUUUCUUUCAUAGAGCAGCCGUUCCCCUCACACAGCCCUCAUUUUCUCCUUUCUUCUUCUCCAGCUUGCGCCAGUUCCCUCUGCCCUCAUUUCCUUCAACAGCCUGCCUAUUUUCUUCCUCCUUCGGUUUCAAUCAACGCCGGUUUUCUUCUCAGCCGACAACACAGACCAGCAGCCGCCAGCUCCACCGUAGCUUCAACAGCCCGAGCUCAGCCUCACACCGGAUCAGACCUCCCUUCCCUCAGCCACCGGGCAACAGUCGACCCAUCGCCCUCCACAGCAGCGACGGCCACUACCCCUUUCUCCCUCUCCGGGUCAACGAACAGGCCCGACCACAGCAGCAAGCAACCACCGAUCUCCUCCUUCAAUCGACCACCGCCACCUGAAACAGAGAAGGAUGAGAAAGCAAAGGAAGAGAAAUUGAGAAGAAGAGAAGGAGAAGCAGAUCUGAUAAAAAGAAGAAAAAACCGAAAAAGAUCUCUAAAAAAAACAAAGGAAAUAAAAUCUAAAAUCAACUGUUUGCGGCCUUUAUUUUGCGUUCUUGUGGCAGGUGAAGGUGGCGGUGACCACCGGCGAAGAAGAAGGGAGGAUCUCCCCUGCUUUUUUUUUUGGGCGGCGCGUGAACCCACGCGCCGCCAGUGACGGUAGCGCGUGGAGCAACGCGCCGCCCGUGUUCAGCUGCCCAGAAUGUGUUUCCGACACUGUUCCUGUGAUGCCUUAUAAAUUCCAGAUUAUGUUGGGGCUGUUUUUUUUGUUGUAAAUUUUAAAUUAAUUAAUGUAAUUUUUAUUUUGUUGUUUGAAUUUGUAUUGUAUAAAUGUGAUGUAAAAAAAAAAAAAA
Molecule: long non-coding RNA, 1017 nt
Filed under: Populus tremula
Lineage: Eukaryota; Viridiplantae; Streptophyta; Magnoliopsida; Malpighiales; Salicaceae
Description: long non-coding RNA (PTRE_LNC000552)
Source: RNAcentral